RNAcentral lists this ribosomal RNA (376 nucleotides) under uncultured eukaryote. RNAcentral describes it as "SSU rRNA". It matches the Rfam family "Eukaryotic small subunit ribosomal RNA", at positions 587 to 972 of the family's 1831-position model. The record is from RNAcentral.
AGCUCCGCAAGUGUAUAUCUAUGUUGCUGCAGUUAAAAAGCUCGUAGUUGGAUCUGCGUGUUUAGCGUCCGGUUCGGCCUUUUGGUUGUUACUGGAAUGCGACACAGAUGUGCUGGUUUGGUGUUGAUGCUCUUAACCGGGUGUCAGCGCCGGCUAGCGAGUUUACUUUGAAAAAAUUAGAGUGUUUAAAACAGGCGUUUCGCCUGAAUAUUUCUGCAUGGAAUAAUAGACUUCGAUUCUAUUCUGUUGGUUUUCGGAAUGCGAAGUAAUGAUUAAGAGGGACAGACGGGGGCAUUCGUACUGCGACGUUAGAGGUGAAAUUCUUGGAUCGUCGCAAGACGUACUACUGCGAAGGCAUUUGCCAAGAAUGUUUUCA